Molecule: ribosomal RNA, 440 nt
Filed under: uncultured bacterium
Lineage: Bacteria
Description: partial 16S ribosomal RNA
Rfam family: Bacterial small subunit ribosomal RNA
Source: RNAcentral
CUACGGGUGGCUGCAGUGAGGAAUAUUGCACAAUGGGGGGAACCCUGAUGCAGCAACGCCGCGUGGAGGAUGACGCAUUUCGGUGUGUAAACUCCUUUUAUAUGUCAAGAAAAUGACGGUAGCAUAUGAAUAAGCACCGGCUAACUCCGUGCCAGCAGCCGCGGUAAUACGGGAGGGUGCAAGCGUUACUCGGAAUCACUGGGCGUAAAGGACGCGUAGGCGGGUUGGAAAGUCAGGUGUGAAAUCCUACAGCUUAACUGUAGAACUGCACUUGAAACUUCUAAUCUAGAGUAUGGGAGGGGGAGAUGGAAUUAGUGGUGUAGGGGUAAAAUCCGUAGAUAUCACCAGGAAUACCUAAAGCGAAGGCGAUCUCCUGGAACAUUACUGACGCUAAGGCGUGAAAGCGUGGGGAGCAAACAGGAUUAGAUACCCUCGUAGUC